RNAcentral lists this ribosomal RNA (557 nucleotides) under uncultured fungus. Its description in RNAcentral is "SSU rRNA". It matches the Rfam family "Eukaryotic small subunit ribosomal RNA", at positions 194 to 755 of the family's 1831-position model. The record is from RNAcentral. Lineage: Eukaryota; Fungi.
GGAAGGGGUGUAUUUAUUAGAUAAAAAACCAAUGCGGGCAACCGCUUUUCUGGUGAUUCAUAAUAACUUUUCGAAUCGCAUGGCCUUGUGCUAGCGAUGUUUCAUUCAAAUUUCUGCCCUAUCAACUAUGCAUGCUAGGAUAGAGGCCUACCAUGCUAAUAACGGGUAACGGCGAAUUAGGGUGCGAUUCCGGAGAGCGAGCCUGAGAAACGGCUACCACAUCCAAGGAAGGCAGCAGGCGCGCAAAUUACCCAAUCCCGAUACGGGGAGGUAGUGACAAUAAAUAACAUUACAGGGCUUUAUAGUCUUGUAUUAGGAAUGAGUACAAUUUAAAUCUCUUAACGAGGAACAAUAGGAGGGCAAGUCUGGUGCCAGCAGCCGCGGUAAUUCCAGCUCCAAUACGCUAUAUUAAAGUUGUUGCAGUUAAUAAGCUCCUAGUUGAAUUUUAGGCCUGGUUGGACGGUCUGCUCUAGGGUUUGUACUGUCCUGACUGGGUCUUACCUUCUGGUGAGCUGUCGUAUUGUUUACUCAGUGCGGCAGGGAACCAGGACUUUUAC